GGAGAACAGGAAAGAUGCCUCAAGUUGCACCGGCGUGGAUUAUUGUACUUUAAAAGGGGCGUGAACAAGCCUAACCAUCACAAAAGAAGAAAGUCUGCUUCCUGACUGAACCUGUCUGCCAGAUCAGCGACCAAGGAGUUCGCUUGUAUGAAAGUCCUGCUUGAUCGCCAGUGUCUAGUGCCUCAACCCUACGGCCUCAGUCGACAUUGGGUGGUAAUGGAACUGAUUAAAGGCACUCUUCUUCAUCGCGUGCAAGAACUGAACAACGUGAAAGCUCUUUACGACAAACUGAUGAACAAUAUAAUGAGAUUUGCUUUGUACGGGGUGGUUCACGCCGACUUCAAUGAGUUCAACAUUUUUAUCACUCACGACGAGAGGCCAGUCAUCAUAGAUUUUUCACACAUGCUUUUUACUCACCAUGCAAAUGCUAAAAUGCACUUUGAAAGGGAUGUGAAUGGUGUGAUCAACUUCUUCAAAAAAAGGCAAGUUGGGAAAGGUGGCUCUUGGCAGUUUACUAAGUAGGAAUAUUUUUACAGGUUYGGCUUCGAAAGCGCAACAUUCCCUCAAUUCUCAGACGUGGUGCGCUUGGACACCAUAAAUAUGGACGCCGAGCGUAUUGGGCUCAAAGAGGACYUGGCCGAACUCAUCAAAGCAGUGAGGCAGCAACUCUGRAAUGAGUCUAAUAACUGCGAUGAUGGGACGGCCGGUGAAUUAAAUGAAGAACCUCUGGAACACGUUCAUGUCGAAUUAGACGAAGAUUUCGAUGGGGGAUUCUUCGAAGACUCUUUCGAUGAAGAAGUGAACUGAAUAUUCAACUAAAAGAUUCAUUACUCUACGAUAAAAUUUGAGCGUGAAUCAAUUUCUUUUCUUUCGAUGAAGGUUUUCCAAUACGAGCGACACUUUGCUGUGCCUUCUUCUUUUCGGAAAACAGUCUCAAUUAGGGUUCCAAUAAUUUAUUAGCAGGUUCCUUUUUAGCUUUUGUUUUUUCUACUGAGUUUUUGUUUAAUAAAAUUAUAUUGUUGGAGUUGUGGAGUACUUGAACUGUUGGUAAAAUUUGGCUUCGAAUAUACUGUAAACUUUCA
Molecule: long non-coding RNA, 1082 nt
Organism: Dendroctonus ponderosae (mountain pine beetle)
Lineage: Eukaryota; Metazoa; Arthropoda; Insecta; Coleoptera; Curculionidae
Exons: 3
Source: RefSeq, a predicted model, not a curated record